Molecule: long non-coding RNA, 989 nt
Organism: Engraulis encrasicolus (European anchovy)
Lineage: Eukaryota; Metazoa; Chordata; Actinopteri; Clupeiformes; Engraulidae
Exons: 2
Source: RefSeq, a predicted model, not a curated record
UUUCCAAGUACCCCCUUCAGUGUGCUCGCGUACCCCUAGUGGUACACGUACCCCUGGUUGGGAACCACUGGACUAUGGUACUCUGGAACAUUACUGUAAUGGGGGGACUGCAGUUGUGGGUCAUCACAGUAAACAGCUUUGAAUUCAUUUGCUGUCUCUUAUUCUGCUCCAGUCACUAUGCAGAAUGCACACUUGGCAAGGAAGCUCUUGCUUGCCAGCCCCUAUUCGGUGUGAUUUGUUGUUGUGCUGUGUCAUUUUAAUUCUAGUCCCCAACCUCUUGGAAGCGCUCUCUGAAGGUUAAUGGUACAGCCUAAUGACUUGUAAUUCUGAAUGGAGAGAGCCAGUAGCAUAGCGUCCACGAUCAAUCUGCUCUGGGUCCGUUUUCUCUGGAUGUUUUCCACCAGGCGGCUGAUUUUUCUAAGCAGUUACACACCAUCCCUGUACUCAUUCCAUUAUUUGGGCAAAUUGAAAUGGGCCAUCACCUGCCAGGAAACAAAGGCGAGACUCGUGUUUGGAGUGGAGGCCAAGCUGAAAGCCAAUAAAAAUCAGCGGCCUGUGGCCUUGUCGUUCCGAGUUUUAUCUUGUCAAGCUUGUGUUGAUGGAUACAUCCCAAAAUAUGUAGUGGCGUGAAAGCUGUUAACAUACAGUAUUCAGUCCAUGUAUAGAGCAUGUUAACGGUCAUGGAAUAAUUGUAUUUUUAUGUCUCCUCUCUCUCUCCAUAGUAACACAGUUCAUGUUGACAGGCCACUACAAUUCCCAUAUCCUUAAUACGUUUGUUAUACAGAAAAAUGGUUAACAUCUCCAGGAAUCUAUUAAAGCUAUUUAAAGGAGACUUUGUCUGCAGAUUGUACUCUAUUUUAGGAGAGCUCAGCGUUCUUAUUUUGCAUAAAUGAGCAAUUUUGUACAAGCUGCAUGGUGUGCUAUCGGCAGUGGUGUUCCAAUUUAUUAAGUUAUGUCAGACAUUCCGUGUCUAUUCAUGGAAAAGGUGA